Molecule: ribosomal RNA, 321 nt
Filed under: Triticum aestivum (bread wheat)
Lineage: Eukaryota; Viridiplantae; Streptophyta; Magnoliopsida; Poales; Poaceae
Description: partial small subunit ribosomal RNA
Source: RNAcentral
AUGAAAUCAUUUUUAUGCAGCGCAAUGCUAGCAAAUGCAGAUGAGAACGGCGAGGCGCAUAUCGUGCCGUGCCGUGUUCUGAUGGGCCGGCCAGAGGCCAUCCCAGCCGGGUCCUCCAAGCUCCACCCCAGCAGUGACAAUUACGACAGUGCCGCCGACAACAUGCAGAACCCACAGUGGUAUGUUGUUUGGGGGCAAGGACAUGAACACGAGGAUCCUCCCAGAGUACGUCGUCAGCUUCAAGUUUCCCAUCCUCUAUCAGAUGCAAGGAUCAUCCGAAGCGACCGCCAUGCUAAAGAAGCCUUCGCCGGUGGCUCGUGA